This 442-nucleotide ribosomal RNA is filed under the name uncultured bacterium. Its description in RNAcentral is "partial 16S ribosomal RNA". It matches the Rfam family "Bacterial small subunit ribosomal RNA", at positions 339 to 795 of the family's 1533-position model. The record is from RNAcentral.
CUACGGGGCGCAGCAGUGGGGAAUAUUGGGCAAUGGGCGCAAGCCUGACCCAGCAACGCCGCGUGAGGGAAGAAUGUCUUCGGAUUGUAAACCUCUGUCCUUGGGGACGAAAAAAAUGACGGUACCCAAGGAGGAAGCUCCGGCUAACUACGUGCCAGCAGCCGCGGGAAUACGUAGGGAGCAAGCGUUGUCCGGAAUUAUUGGGCGUAAAGGGUGCGUAGGCGGCGCUGUAAGGCAGAUGUGAAAUCCCCGGGCUUAACUCGGGAGUUGCAUUUGAAACUACAGUGCUUGAGUAAAGAAGGGGUAAGUGGAAUUCCUAGUGUAGCGGUGGAAUGCGUAGAUAUUAGGAGGAACACCAGUGGCGAAGGCGACUUACUGGUCUUUUACUGACGCUGAGGCACGAAAGCGUGGGGAGCAAACAGGAUUAGAUACCCCCGUAGUC